RNAcentral lists this ribosomal RNA (675 nucleotides) under uncultured bacterium. Its description in RNAcentral is "bacterial SSU rRNA". It matches the Rfam family "Bacterial small subunit ribosomal RNA", at positions 54 to 749 of the family's 1533-position model. The record is from RNAcentral.
CAUGCAAGUCGAACGGUAGCAGGCCCGCAAGGGUGCUGACGAGUGGCGGACGGGUGAGUAAUGCGUAGGAAUCUGCCUAGUAAUGGGGGAUAACCUAGGGAAACUUAGGCUAAUACCGCAUAAGCCCUAAGGGGGAAAGCAGGGGAUCGUAAGACCUUGCGUUAUUAGAUGAGCCUACGUCGGAUUAGCUAGUUGGUGAGGUAACGGCUCACCAAGGCGACGAUCAGUAGCUGGUCUGAGAGGAUGAUCAGCCACACUGGGACUGAGACACGGCCCAGACUCCUACGGGAGGCAGCAGUGGGGAAUCUUGGACAAUGGGCGCAAGCCUGAUCCAGCCAUGCCGCGUGAGUGAUGAAGGCCCUAGGGUUGUAAAGCUCUUUCGGCGGGGAAGAUAAUGACGGUACCCGCAGAAGAAGCCCCGGCUAACUUCGUGCCAGCAGCCGCGGUAAUACGAAGGGGGCUAGCGUUGCUCGGAAUCACUGGGCGUAAAGCGCACGUAGGCGGUUUCUUAAGUCAGGGGUGAAAUCCUGGAGCUCAACUCCAGAACUGCCUUUGAUACUGGGAGACUUGAGUUCGGGAGAGGUGAGUGGAACUGCGAGUGUAGAGGUGAAAUUCGUAGAUAUUCGCAAGAACACCAGUGGCGAANGCGGCUCACUGGACCGGAACUGACGCUGA